Molecule: long non-coding RNA, 464 nt
Filed under: Homo sapiens (human)
Lineage: Eukaryota; Metazoa; Chordata; Mammalia; Primates; Hominidae
Description: non-protein coding lnc-ZNF782-3:4
Source: RNAcentral
GGUGGAAUUCAUCCUUCCGAGGACUGAGAUGAGGACGGAAAAUGAACCAUCGGGGGGAUUGACGGUGAAGAUGCUAAUACCUGCCCAGCAUCGACCCUAGUGCGGGUCCCAAGACCAUCCCCCUGUGCAGGCUCCACCACCGCUGUGCUAACUGGACCGCGGCAGAAGAGUGGAAGUUUUCAUGGGCUGAGCUGCUGAGUUCAGCCUGGGAACUGAGGCCAACAAGGGAGUCUCCUCGGCACACAAGUUUGAAAGAAGUCCUGGUGACUUCAAGCUCAGAACCAUGGACGGCAGGGCUCCCUCUGGAUGUGGAAUUCUCCGUCCCUUUCCAGGGAGGGAACAAAGCCCACAGCACCGGCUAAAUAGGGGAGUAGAAUGGGAAUGUGAUAAAAAGUACCACCUCUGCAUCCUUCAAGUCCUUGAUGGUGGUACUAAUCUCUGCAAGCUCUACAAGAAUGCAGUAU